AACCGCGGUUAUACGAGAGGCCCAAAUUGAUGCAUCACGGCGUAAAGUGUGAUUAGAGACAAAUUAAAACUAGAACCAAAUACCCCUUAUGCUGUCAUACGCCAUGGGGGUCACGAAGCCCGACAACGAAAGUGGUUCUAUAAACCUUGAACUCACGACAGCUAAGACA
Molecule: ribosomal RNA, 169 nt
Filed under: Gymnothorax elegans (elegant moray)
Lineage: Eukaryota; Metazoa; Chordata; Actinopteri; Anguilliformes; Muraenidae
Description: partial small subunit ribosomal RNA
Source: RNAcentral